This 282-nucleotide ribosomal RNA is filed under the name uncultured bacterium. RNAcentral describes it as "partial 16S ribosomal RNA". It matches the Rfam family "Bacterial small subunit ribosomal RNA", at positions 335 to 628 of the family's 1533-position model. The record is from RNAcentral.
AUCCCUACGGGGGGCAGCAGUCGAGAAUCAUUCACAAUGGGGGAAACCCUGAUGGUGCGACGCCGCGUGGGGGAAUGAAGGUGUUCGGAUUGUAAACCCCUGUUAUGUGGGAGCAAAUUAAAAAGAUAGUACCACAAGAGGAAGAGACGGCUAACUCUGUGCCAGCAGCCGCGGUAAUACAGAGGUCUCAAGCGUUGUUCGGAAUCACAGGGCGUAAAGCGUGCGUAGGCUGUUUCGUAAGUCGUAUGUGAAAGGCGCGGGCUCAACCUGCGGGCGGCACAU